This 463-nucleotide ribosomal RNA is filed under the name uncultured bacterium. RNAcentral describes it as "partial 16S ribosomal RNA". It matches the Rfam family "Bacterial small subunit ribosomal RNA", at positions 28 to 507 of the family's 1533-position model. The record is from RNAcentral.
GACGAACGCUGGCGGCGUGCUUAACACAUGCAAGUCGAACGGAAAGGCCUUUUCGGAGGUACUCGAGUGGCGAACGGGGGAGUAACACGCGGGUGAUCUGCCCUGCACUCUGGGAUAAGCCUGGGAAACUGGGUCUAAGACCGGAUAGGACCGCACUUUAGUGUGGGUGGGGGAAAGUUUUUUCGGUGUAGGAUGAGCCCGCGGCCUAUCAGCUUGUUGGUGGGGUAAUGGCCUACCAAGGCGGCGACGGGUAGCCGGACUGAGAGGUUGGUCGGCCACAUUGGGACUGAGAUACGGCCCAGACUCCUACGGGAGGCAGCAGUGGGGAAUAUUGCACAAUGGGCGCAAGCCUGAUGCAGCGACGCCGCGUGGGGGAUGACGGCCUUCGGGUUGUAAACUCCUUUCGCCAGGGACGAAGCGUUUUGUGACGGUACCUGGAGAAGAAGCACCGGCUAACUACGUG